CCCUUAGAUGUUCUGGGCUGCACGCGCGCUACACUGAUUCAUGCAACAAGUUUUGUCCUUGGCUGAUAGGCCUGGGUAAUCUUUGAACGUGAAUCGUGAUGGGGAUAGAUGAUUGCAAUUAUUCAUCUUCAACGAGGAAUUCCUAGUAAACGCAAGUCAUCAGCUUGCAUUGAUUACGUCCCUGCCCUUUGUACACACCGCCCGUCGCACCUACCGAUUGAAUGGUCCGGUGAAAUCUUCGGAUCUGAGAGAUGUCUGAUUAAUUUCGGACGCCUUUUGGAAAAGUUGUUUAAACCUUACCAUUUAGAGGAAGGUGAAGUCGUAACA
RNAcentral lists this ribosomal RNA (327 nucleotides) under uncultured eukaryote. Its description in RNAcentral is "partial 18S ribosomal RNA". It matches the Rfam family "Eukaryotic small subunit ribosomal RNA", at positions 1470 to 1796 of the family's 1831-position model. The record is from RNAcentral.